GACGAACGCUGGCGGCGUGCCUAAUACAUGCAAGUAGAACGCACAGUUUAUACCGUAGCUUGCUACACCAUAGACUGUGAGUUGCGAACGGGUGAGUAACGCGUAGGUAACCUGCCUGGUAGCGGGGGAUAACUAUUGGAAACGAUAGCUAAUACCGCAUAAUAUUAAUUAUUGCAUGAUAAUUAAUUGAAAGGUGCAAUUGCACCACUACCAGAUGGACCUGCGUUGUAUUAGCUAGUAGGUGAGGUAACGGCUCACCUAGGCGACGAUACAUAGCCGACCUGAGAGGGUGAUCGGCCACACUGGGACUGAGACACGGCCCAGACUCCUAGGGGAGGCAGCAGUAGGGAAUCUUCGGCAAUGGACGAAAGUCUGAACGAGCAACGCCGCGUGAGUGAAGAAGGUUUUCGGAUCGUAAAGCUCUGUUGUAAGAGAAGAACGGGUGUGAGAGUGGAAAGUUCACACUGUGACGGUAUCUUAACAGAAAGGGACGGCUAACUACGUG
Molecule: ribosomal RNA, 505 nt
Filed under: uncultured bacterium
Lineage: Bacteria
Description: partial 16S ribosomal RNA
Rfam family: Bacterial small subunit ribosomal RNA
Source: RNAcentral